This 119-nucleotide ribosomal RNA is filed under the name Hordeum vulgare subsp. vulgare (domesticated barley). The record is from RNAcentral. Lineage: Eukaryota; Viridiplantae; Streptophyta; Magnoliopsida; Poales; Poaceae.
GGAUGCGAUCAUACCAGCACUAAAGCAGCGGAUCCCAUGAGAACUCCGAAGUUAAGCAUGCUUGGGCGAGAGUAGUACUAGGAUGGGUGACCUCCUGGGAAGUCCUCGUGUUGCAUUCC